AGUGAACGCUGGCGGCAGGCCUAACACAUGCAAGUCGAGCGGCAGCGGGUUCCCGCGAGGGGAUGCCGGCGAGCGGCGGACGGGUGAGGAACACAUCGGAAUCUGCCUGGGUUGUGGGGGAUAACGUAGGGAAACUUACGCUAAUACCGCAUGCGACCCUGAGUCGACGGACUGGGGUGAAAGUGAGGGACCUUCGGCCGUCACGCGACCAGAUGAGCCGA
Molecule: ribosomal RNA, 221 nt
Filed under: uncultured bacterium
Lineage: Bacteria
Description: partial 16S ribosomal RNA
Rfam family: Bacterial small subunit ribosomal RNA
Source: RNAcentral